CUGAACGAAUAAAUCUCUCCACCGUUUUGUCUAUGAAAAUCCCUACGGAUUCUCAUGUUCCCUCUAUAUCUGUAGUCUGUACCUCUAUCUCUCCACACUGCGCCGCCACUAGCAAGCCUUCACGGUCAUCGCCGUCGGAGACCUAGGCAGUGCUGCUGUAAUACCUGAUUGUUUGUACGUCUGCAGUCGAACGCCACGAUCAUCCAGCCCGCAGGCUGUGCGAACCAGGCCGUGGUCGCCAAGGGCUACUGCAGAGUGCGCUGCGGCCUCCACAACGCCGACAUCGGGUAGGCCUAAGCGUGGGUGGGUGGCACCGAGUGCGAGUGCACUAAGCCGCUCCCUUGACAUCUGAUCCCAAAUCCUCCACCUCCUUGCCCUUUCCAAUGGCGCAUGGAGUUUUCUCAGGGGCAGGCCCGCCACGACAUCAUCGUCCACCUCCUGUAUAGAGGAUCACCCCACCUAUGAAUCGGAAUUCAUGGCUUUUAUCUCCUCCGUGAAUCCCAUCCCCAGGUUUUCCCCAAAUCAUUUCGAAUUUGCAUACAUAUGAUUCUAAAAGGCGAAAUAUUUUUUACAUCUAUGAAAAGUUUUUGUUUGUCGUCCUACUAUCUAUGCUUAUUCUUCAUCUUUGUUAUCAUACUUUUUACAAUGUGGUUUGGGCCUAAAUGCUAUAUCUACUCAUGCUUAAUACUAGUGACAUUAACACGUGGACAAAUCUUCUUUACAAUUACAUGAUGCUUCCCGGUGAACCAAUGCAAUCUCAUGCAUAUGUAAAUGGUUGGAGAAAUACUAGGGAAGAAAAUUCCUACAACCACACUAGAUUUGGUUUGUUACUUAACCACGUUCCAUAUUAAAACACUCAAUUCCCUUUUCCUUAAGAAGGUGAGCACUUGCAAUUCUCCUGGCAGUAGCAAUUCAACAACUCGAUCUAGGUGUGAGAGGCCUAUUAUAUUUGUUUUGCACGUAUUUGUUGAACGUCAUCGUCAUGUCCACUAAGAAGAAAGCCAAAUUUUCAACACCAAUUUGUGUUUAUUUCUCAAAUUUUAGAUUGUAGGAUCUUAUAUGACCGCCAUGCAAAGCAAAUGGGUUUCAUUAUUUCUCUUAUUGUAAGUCAUUGGUAUGCAUUGAUCCACUACCCUCCUCAGUGUAAGUCACUACGGAAUAUUCUUCAAAUCCUCUAAAAAUUUGAAGAUGGAUCAAUGUUAACUUUUCUACGCUGUAAUGUGUCAAUCUAAUAAAUAUCACACAUUACCGGUUUCCUAUUUUUCAUAUCUCUGUAAAUCUUUGCUGAAUUUCCCGCCGCAAGGCGCGGGGCAUCCUCUAGUUUCUUAUAAUUAUGCACCGAGUGAGUGAGAGAAAAUGAGGGUAGUGGCGAAUGAAUGAGACAUGGGAGAAUAGAUCAACUUAGAGUUCGGGCAUGAAUUAUAUGGUAAGGGUGAUGGUCAAGGGCCUGUUUGGUUUACAGCCUAAAGUUGGCACGCCUAACCUUAGUCGUGCCACAACAUUUUAGGCAUGUGUUUGGUUUGUUGCCACACUUGUGGCUUGCCACACUUUUCUAGCAACAUGGUCCACAUGUCAUAGGCUCAAUUUUUUGCCAAAUCUUGCUACACUUGUGGUGGCCAUUUUGUCAGCCACACUUUUUGUGGCAGCCACACUUUACCUGAGCUUAGUUGUGGCAAAGUUAGUCAUGAACCAAAAGGCCCCAAAUAUCAAGCGGUCUAAAAUUUGGGAUUGUCGUCGAAUUGAUAAACAACCGGUUACUAAUAGAACUUCAAAAAAAUUACAGCAUGGUGUUGUACCUCCAUGUUUAUCCUAAGAAUUCCCUAUACAUUGUGUAAAAUAUGGCAUAUUGUCGAAUGGAAAUCUAGCAGAAUACGCUUAUGAAUAAAGGUCUCGGACAAAAUAUGGCAAUCAUGCUUAGUAUUUUUUUAGGAUAAAGGAAGAGAGUUAUCAUUCUCAUUUUUUACUUUUUUGGGUGGAGAGUUAUCAUUCUCAUUGACACAUUUAUUUUACAUGAUUUAAGUUCUGCCGGCUUUUUCCAGGGGAUUAAAGUAUAGUUUCAUUUUACAUGAUUCAAGUAUAAUUAGUUUUGUAUAGAGAGAAUAGUUUUUCUAUAGAGAAAGUUACCAUACAAAAAAGAGUUUUUUUUAGAACAGACAAAAAAAAGCUUGUAUAGAGAGAAAUCGUUAUUUGGGCCAGCAGCCUUUUCCCAUCGUUCUCUUUGGGCCACCGCUUUCCCUGGGAAUCACUCCGGCCAGUGGGCCGAACAGUUCCCAGCCGUCUCUCCGGCCGCCCGCCGGCGGGCGGCGAGCUCGGACUCCCUCCGGCCGACCACCGCUGUCGCGCGAGAUGGUAAGACCUGGAUGCCGCGUACCUCCUGCGAUCGGCUGCUCCUUCUGUAUCUACUUGGGCCGCGUUUGGUCUCGUGGAUUCGUUGUCCCUCCUGCAACUGCAGUGCCAUUUCUCGGCAGAUUCGUAGGUUCUCAGAAGGUCUAGCUUGGUUUAGUGGUUCGCGCAUAUGCGACCGUCGGCGCGGUCAGGCUGGCCGACCGGCGGCGGCGUGGCGCGGCAAGGCGCUGGGUCUGCCGUGAGGGGCAAAGCUGGCAGUGGCGCGUCAGCCACUCGCGGCAGGCGCGGAGUCGCGCGUGUAGGAAUUCUGAAUGUCUCUAGCAUGUGACAGGGUAGAAAUUCGGCUCCUCAAAUGUGUUAUUCCGUCUUAGGCUGUUGAUAUUGCCUCAAGAUUUAUGCUUCCUCUCAGCUUGGUCGUUAUUAUGGUAAGGGAUUAUGUUGGCACAUUGAUGCAACAUGAAUAAUCGUGUAGGUAGUGACUUGUGCAUCUGUAGGAGAUGGAUGACAAAAACUAGACCACAAGAGAUGUAACUUUUCUCCCCUUUAGUACUUCCCUGAAUUUAGCCCCGUGGGACUGGUUAUACCCAGUUGGAUCUGUGGAGUUCAUGUCAGUUUCGUAGGGGUCUAUGUGAAAUGUGAUAUUCAUGAAAAAGAUUUUGACAUUUUGUGAUUUUGCAGUCUGCUUGUGAUAAUUAUUAGUGACUCCUUUCCUGUAUGUGAUUAUGUCUGGAUUAUAGGGUUCUAGUAAAACUAUAUUUACCCUUUUCUUGCUAAAAGAAGACUAAUAUUUCCAGACUAAUAUUCUCUGCUGCUUUUGCUCAACACCUCUUCUGUUUCUGAGCUCCGGACCACUACUGGAAAUCGUGUCUUUGGUGCCCUUAAGGGAGCUCUGGAUGGUGGGCUUGACAUUCCACAGUGACAUAAGGUUUGCUGGUUUCCAGAAGGAUGAGAAGUAGUUGGAUGUGGAGAUUCACCGCGAUUACAUCUAUGGAGGUCAUGUUUCUGACUACACGAGUCACUUGCUGAGGAAGAACCUGAGAAGUACCAACAGCACUUCAGUCAGUACAUCAAGAAAGGAACUGGGGCUGAUGACACAGAAGGUUGUGCUGCCAUUUUUGCCGAUCCUUCCAUGGCCAAGCUAACCAAGAAAUCCCUGAAGGACACACAAGAGGUACAAGCUUAAGAAGCUGACCUAUCUGCAAAGGAAGGCCAGUCUGGCUGAACGCGCUCAACUCAUCCGCUGGAGCUGCUGCUUAUUCGAAUGAGGACGGUGAGUGAAGAGUGUAGUCAACUGUAGUAGCAUUGUCAGCAUACUUUGAAACCUGUAGUUGCUAUAUGGCAUCUACCAGUAGCUGUAGUGAAGAUGCAAAGACAUUUUUGUUUCAGCACUCUGAUCAAUGAUCCUGUUUCUUCCAAUUGAGUAUCAUGCUGGGGUUAUGCAUUGUGUCGAUUAUACA
Long non-coding RNA from Triticum aestivum (bread wheat), 3803 nucleotides. RefSeq lists it as uncharacterized. NCBI's taxonomy places the organism in Eukaryota, Viridiplantae, Streptophyta, Magnoliopsida, Poales, Poaceae. The transcript has 5 exons. The record is from RefSeq and is a predicted model, not a curated record.